This is a long non-coding RNA of Limulus polyphemus (Atlantic horseshoe crab), 435 nucleotides long. RefSeq lists it as uncharacterized. The transcript is spliced from 3 exons. NCBI's taxonomy places the organism in Eukaryota, Metazoa, Arthropoda, Merostomata, Xiphosura, Limulidae. The record is from RefSeq and is a predicted model, not a curated record.
ACUCGAGGCAGAGAUCAAGACUGGUUCUGUAAGUUUUUCAGAAUUCUGUCGACAGUUGUUCAAUGGUUCCACCAUCAACGGCGUCCAGCACGUUGCGGCAGCAGCGACAUCUUUACGUAGGCUAGUGUGGAGUAUUAUCUCCGUCGUCUGUCUUGUUGGUUUCGUGUAUCAAAGCAUCCAGUUUCUACUCUUAUACCUGGCCAAACCUACUGUAGUGGAGGUCAACGUGGUCAUCGAACCUAAUCGACCUUUCCCUGCAAUUACUAUAUGUAACAAAAAUAGGAUCAGAUGGUCAGCUCUGUGCGACUUGUACCCAGAGAAAUGCGAGGCAAUAAGAAAAAAUAGGGAACAAGGGUACAUAAAUAUAACGGAAUUGGCUACUCUAACCUACUGGAGUUAUGCUUUAAAUAUUAGUGAGCGUGCUUCUCUUGGUCA